AACUUCACAACAUUAAGACAAAACAGGAUUGGUGCUGCUGUCAACCGAGGAAGGGUCUGGAGGUGAGAGCUGUUGGUGCGACACACUAAGGGCUUUGCAGGAUCAUGUUUACCCGUCGCCUGCCUUGGUGGAGAUCCAGUGCUACCUGCAAGCCGUGGCGGUCGGGUCGCUUUCUGCCUCGCGUCUGGGAGAGGUGCCAACCGCCGAGUCGUAAAGGGAUCAGCACGACCGCGGGGCAGGGGCAACAGGUUGGCAUGCAGGAGAAACAAGUAUUAGAAGAUCUGGAAAUGCCCCUUGCAAGGAGAGAAACCGAGACCCUCUUCCAAGAGCAGCCCCAGACUGGGAACCAGUAUUUGGAAGAUGCUUUGCUUCGGAGUUACUUGAAAACGCACCUUCCUCCCAAGGUACUGGAGGAGGUCAGUCGGGAUCUGGAGAGAUUUGGAAACCGUCUUCUAACCAAGAUCAAACCUCUAGGAUGGGAAUGCGAGUUGAACCCCCCUGUGUUUCGGCAGUAUGAUGCCUGGGGGCGGCGGGUGGAUCACAUUGUCACCUGCUCGGCCUGGAGGAGGAUGAAGGAGAUUGCGGCAGAAGAGGGGCUGAUUGCUGAGGCCUAUGAGAGAAGAUACUCCAACUGGAGCCGUCUGCAUCAGGCUGUCAAACUGUAUUUAUUUUCAAGCUCCUCUGGAGGUUUCAACUGUCCGCUGGCCAUGACUGAUGGGGCAGCCAAAGUCAUUGAGUCACUAGGUAUUCCCGGAUCUCUGAAAAAUGCUUUUGACCAUCUGACAUCCCGUGACCCCAAGAAGUUCUGGACCUCUGGCCAGUGGAUGACCGAGCGCAGGGGAGGCUCUGAUGUUGCUAAUGGCACUGAGACAGUGGCCAGAAAGCAGCCAGAUGGUACAUAUCGUCUCUAUGGUUUUAAAUGGUUUACAUCGGCUGCUGAUUCUGAUGUGACAUUAACCCUGGCCAGGGUAGCGGAUGCUGAAGGAAAAGUAAAACAGGGUUCCAGCGGCCUGUCCCUGUUCUUCCUGAAGGUUCGAGAUGAGGAGGGGAAGCUGAACAGCAUCCAAGUGCAAAGGCUGAAAGACAAGUUGGGCACGCGGCAGAUGGCAACAGCAGAGCUAUGGCUGGAUGGAGCUAAAGCAGAGCUAAUCUCUGCAGAGGGUCGUGGAGUGGCCUCCAUCUCCAACAUGCUGAACAUAACUCGGAUCCACAACGUCAUUGGUGCAGUAGCUUCCAUGAGAAGGAUGAUCAGUCUGAGCAGGGAGUAUGCCCGUAGGCGGGUUGCCUUUGGGAAGCUUCUCAAGGACCAUCCCCUACACAUGCAGACGAUAGCCCGGAUGGAGGUGCAGACACGAGGGGCGUUCCUUCUGCUUAUGGAGAUCGUUCGUCUGCUUGGACUUGUAGAAACCAACAUGGCGAGUGAGCAAGCCCAGCUUCUCUUGAGACUGCUGAUACCAGUCGCCAAACUGUACACUGGGAAGCAGGCUUCUGCUGUUGUUGUUGAGGCAAUGGAGAGUUUUGGAGGACAAGGUUACAUGGAGGACACAGGCUUGCCAGUCAUAGUCCGCGAUACUCUGGUGCUGUCCAUAUGGGAGGGAACAACAAAUAUCCUGUCACUUGAUGUCCUGCGGUCCCUCACCAAGAGUCAAGGGCAGGUGAUGGCUGCGUUCUUCUCCGCAGUGCAGCAAAAACUGGAGCUGGCUUCGAGCACGGCGAAACUGGAACCCGCCGUGAAGCAAACGCGGGAUGCCAUCAGCAGUCUUGCGCGGUUCACGCAAGCAGCUGGUUCCAAAGGGGCCGUGACCAUGGAGCUAGCAGCAAGAGACUUCUCCUACACCCUAGCGAGGAUCUAUGCAGGAGCUCUUCUAAUCGAACACGCAGCUCGGCCUGAUGCUUCCUCCACAGACAUCUCCGCUGCUCGAAGGUGGUGCAACCAGGAGCUGUGCCCCGUGGCCACGGAGUUAGAGAACAGCAGCUACGAGGCUGAGGAAGCGCUCGUGGACGGCGCGCUGGUGUACGAGGGCAGCCCUGCCUGCGGCGGCAGGCUGUGACUCACCGCAGGCAACUGGGAAGUCCAACCCCCAGGGGAAACAGAAGGUGGGUCACAAUCCAAAAAACCCAAAAAUAUCCAAAAAUCCUCAGACAGCCGCGAAUUACGGGCGUGGUGGGGACAUUCCACCGGGGGCCAGACCAAAUCCUUCUGGAGUAACCCCCAGGUUACUGGGGGGUUUGCACCACCUGCUCCAAUGUGAAAUCCACCGCUUUUGCGCCGAGUUAUUUGCUAACGCAGACACAGCCGCUGACGGUCAGCCCGAGACGCUGAAAUGUUCUUACCGUGUUCUAGGCAGAGACUAAGCGAUCAAAUCCAGGUAACGGCUGGAAAGCAGCAGCUCUUCAAGUGCCAACCGGUGGUCUUUUUAAAGAAAAGCAACCAAAAUCAAACUGAAAAUUAUUUGAAGCUGAUUAAAUACAGAAAAACACGGGUUUCCCCUGUUCACCUUCGUGCUCUCCAGUGCCAGACGUGGCCUUCCACCCUGGCACCUGCCAGGGACGGGGUCUUCUUCCGGGGCAGCCUCUAACGCCCACCGUGGCUGCGCGGAUGGUACGUCCCCUCGUACAAGCAACCUCCACGGGAACCGAUGGGCUGGGCUCAGGACCCCCGGCUCAGCGGCCCGUCCGGGCAACUCGUUGGGUAAAACAAAGGCUUUGUAACCCAAACUUUCCCGUUUUCCCAGCCAAGGCUAUUGUUAAGCGAGGUAGCCACGGGGCGCUGCCUAGGCUAGCUUGUGGGUUUGAUCUUUCCUUUUAUGUUCUACCUUGUCUCAAACGAGCUUUGCUUUUACUUCAUUAACCUGGAGUAGAGGCUUUACCUUCACGCGUGUUGCGGGGCGCCUUGUCCCCGCUAAAGCUGCUAACUCGGCCCCGCAGUCAGCCGGGACGGGCGAGGAAAACGUUCUCGACCUGCUGCAUUUCAAACACGGGAUAGAGCGAAUUGCCGUUUGCAGCUCUGUAAACGGUCGGCGUCAACGCUGCCCUGCAAAGCUGCUCUGUGACAGCUUAGGGGAGGAGGAAGCUUGCGCCUUCCCUAUGCCUGUGUCCUGGUGAUGCUGCAAUUCAUACCGAUUUAAAUUCUGACCUAAGUUUUAGACUGAAAUCCAGUGAUCCUCCACCAAAGCGAACACCCGCACACCGAUUGCGCGCUUCUCUUCACCCUCGGCCCGUCAGUCUACCUGCUGGGUAUUACCCUGACGACUGAAAGUUUUUAAUUAAAAAGUUGCUAGUAACAGAAGAAAAACAGUACUAGAACAAAGGCAGCUGGAAUAUAUAGCUGCGGAGUGCUACCGCAGCUAGGAUCUCGAGUGGGAGGGCAGGGAAGGAGCUGUUUGCUGAGCACAAGUUGUCCACCGUUUCACCGAGGCCAAAGUCCGCAGAUCCGGGAGGCCCCAGGCGACCGAACGCUG
Pygoscelis adeliae (Adelie penguin) is the source of this 3461-nucleotide RNA transcript. RefSeq lists it as uncharacterized. The record is from RefSeq and is a predicted model, not a curated record. The transcript is spliced from 15 exons. NCBI's taxonomy places the organism in Eukaryota, Metazoa, Chordata, Aves, Sphenisciformes, Spheniscidae.